GAUGAACGCUGGCGGCGUGCCUAAUACAUGCAAGUCGAGCGAACGGACGAGAGGCUUGCUUCUCUGAUGUUAGCGGCGGACGGGUGAGUAACACGUGGAUAACCUACCUAUAAGACUGGGAUAACUUCGGGAAACCGGAGCUAAUACCGGAUAAUAUUUUGAACCGCAUGUUUCAAAAGUGAAAGACGGUCUUGCUGUCACUUAUAGAUGGAUCCGCGCUGCAUUAGCUAGUUGGUAAGGUAACGGCUUACCAAGGCAACGAUGCAUAGCCGACCUGAGAGGGUGAUCGGCCACACUGGAACUGAGACACGGUCCAGACUCCUACGGGAGGCAGCAGUAGGGAAUCUUCCGCAAUGGGCGAAAGCCUGACGGAGCAACGCCGCGUGAGUGAUGAAGGUCUUCGGAUCGUAAAACUCUGUUAUUAGGGAAGAACAUAUGUGUAAGUAACUGUGCACAUCUUGACGGUACCUAAUCAGAAAGCCACGGCUAACUACGUG
RNAcentral lists this ribosomal RNA (497 nucleotides) under uncultured bacterium. Its description in RNAcentral is "partial 16S ribosomal RNA". It matches the Rfam family "Bacterial small subunit ribosomal RNA", at positions 28 to 507 of the family's 1533-position model. The record is from RNAcentral.